GCCCGAGCCUUACGCAAUUUGAGGAGGCUGAACCCCGCCAGGUCCGGAAGGAAGCAACGGUAAGCUCACCCUUGGAUGUGCCGUAACAGCUUGGGCUUU
RNAcentral lists this signal recognition particle RNA (99 nucleotides) under bacterium. RNAcentral's name for it is "signal recognition particle sRNA small type". It matches the Rfam family "Bacterial small signal recognition particle RNA". From Rfam's summary of the family: The signal recognition particle (SRP) is a universally conserved ribonucleoprotein involved in the co-translational targeting of proteins to membranes. Archaeal SRP consists of a 7S RNA and homologues of the eukaryotic SRP19 and SRP54 proteins. In most bacteria, the SRP consists of a 4.5S RNA and the Ffh protein (a homologue of the eukaryotic SRP54 protein). The record is from RNAcentral.